GGAUGCUCUCCUUAUGGUGUGAUGGUGGCCGGAUUCAAAACAACACUACUCCUGGAGCCGGGUAAGAGGCUGAUUAUAUUUAGAGUACAUUCACUUCCCACGGUCAUCUGGUAGGAAAGGAAGCACUGUUGAAACCUCAUCUUCUCCACUGGACAGUGUCGUGACUGGGGGAAUUAGUGGAAGAAAAAAGGAUAAACCCACCUGGGGUCUAGAUCUAGAAUGCUAAUCAGAGCUUGAAGUAACACAGCUUUUUUUUUCUUCUUCUUUUUUUUUUUUUUUUUUUUCUUUGUAGGACCACACCUGAGGUAUAUGGAGGUUCCCAGGCUAGGGUCGAACUGAGCUGAAGCUGCCAGCCUACACAACCAGGGCAAUGCCAGACCCAGCUGUGUCUCUGACCUACAUCACAGCUCACAGCAACGUCAUCGGAUCCUUAAUCCACUGAGCAAGGCUAGCCUGCAUCCUCAGGGAUACUAGUCAUGUUCGUUACAACUGAGCCACAGUGGGAACUCCCAAGACAGAGCUAUUUUUGCCUGGCUUUCACAUCUGAGAUCUCUUCCAAAAUAGAAACUGUUACUUUCACUCUCUGGGGGCAACUUGGGGUAAAGGAUUAGCAGGUACAUGCCCUUAGUAUAAAUUUCAGAUGCCUAGGACAUCAAUCUCCCUUGAAAGAGGCCAACCUCUCCUUUCUCCAUUUUCAGCGGGUACCAAAUCUAGGCUUAUUCUCACAGCUGCGGAUGAGAAGCAGGUAAUCCUAAAAUUUUUUUUGCAAGGAAAGGGCCUAGAUUUAGCACAUGCUAUAGCAGACAGGGGCUUUAGAGAUUUAUUACAGAGAAUGAGCGAAGUCAAGUUGAAUUGCUUGAGACAGAGCAAACUCUGAGCAAGCUCACGUGCCCCCGUCGACUGACUUCUUAACUGUCUUUCCAUCCUCUUCCCUUUUUAUUUGGGGAAACAGACUCUCCGCUGUAGCUCUGGGGUGUGUGUCAGCACUUUAUCAUUGCUCGUGUUAAUUUCCUCAUGCGUCUUUCCCACCCAGCACCAUGUGCUGAAUCAUCCCCCAUGAUCCUUUCUGCUUUGAGACUGAACUCUCCAGUGUCACAAGCGGCCACCACGUUUUCUUCACAUGAUAGCCAUCAUGAAAAGACUAUCAAAACAGAGCUGAUACUGUUAGGAAAGUUCUCUUAAAUGGAACUGGGAGGCCACUGAGAAAUUAUGACUUAACGCACAUCUCAGCUCAGAUGGAGUCUAACCUUUUGACCAUUUAUUGUCUGAACACAGGCAUCCAGAACAUCUGCACAACGGUCCAGAAACCCAAGAUACUGAUAGAAUUCUUACCCUAAACAACUUGUGACAACCUACCCAUUAGGGCAAAUGUUUCCUUUCUUGUGUCAGGGUGCAGACUCAUGGCUUUUGCCUUUAUAAGCCCUCCUUUCUCUUCUCCAGAAUAUUCUUUUGGUUGGCCUGAAUCCGUGUCUCCCCAGUUGCAAUUCUUAUGAUGCCGAAUAAACGCUUCCUUGCAGCCUUCUAUGUUUUUUUCAUCAACACUAUUCAAAUUUGUGCAGCCUCAGUGGACACAAUGUAUAUUCUGUUUAAUAGUCUUGCUUGAGGCGGUUUCCUAUUGUUAUCUCCUUAGUUUCCCUCUGAGGGUGCAUGGUUUCUUUUUUUGUAAACUUCUUGGGAUCUGUCUCCUGGACCCUGCCUGGAGGUUUUUGGCAAGAUGUGGGACAGUGUCCUUCCAGUCAUUGCAGUUACACUUGAGCAGGGGAGAGAGAGCCAAGGCGUAUUCUGCCCAGUGCUGCUUGAACUUAAUGGGUGAUUGGAGAAGGAAUGGAGCAGAGUAGGUUAGGCUGUUAAUUGGAAUCAAUGAAGCAGACUCUAUGAAGCCCGAUUUUAAUACAGAAAAAUAAGAUAGUAAUUAAAUAGUAAGAAUAAAGCUUAACUUGGAGAUUAAAAUGUUAAAAACAUAGUAUGAUUUUUUUCUAUCUUGAAAGACUGUACAAUUAAAUUUUCUUCAAGUUAUGAAACAAUCUGUUGUGGGGCUAGAUCCAAGGACUGCUUUUUUGGUGUGUAAUCGCAAGCAUCUUUUUCAUAAGCAUUUAGGAUGGUCAUUUUCUGUCUUUCCCAGAAAUGUAUGAAUCAUGGUAAACUUAUUCCUCUUAGAAUCAGACAUGUUGUAAACUGGGAAAUCUUUGGGGCUGUUUCUUUAAGAAUUAUGAGUGGGUGAGUGAGGUGGAUGAGUGAGGCAAUGACAUAAUAUUUACCAGAGGAUUUGGAAAAUUAAAUAACUAUUUGCAACAUAAUGUAUUUGUCAUCAGAUUAAGUAAACCUUUUUAAAAUUCCAAUUGUAUGUUGAGAACUUUUACAAUUGGCACCUUAUUUAAUAUUGAGGCAAAUUAAACUUUAUUAUGUUCUAUUUUAUAUUUUAGACACAAGUCUUUUCAUUAGAGAUUUUUUUUUUUGGCCAGUAUUUUCUACCAGCAUAUGGCUUGAUUUUUUUUUUUUUUUCAGUCUCUUAACAAUGUCUUUCACAGAGCGGAAGUUUUUAAUUUUAGUAAAGUCACAUUUAGCCACUUUUUUCCCCCUUGGGUGGAUUGUGCUUUCAGUGUUAGAUUAUUGAAAUCCAUUGCCAAGUCAAGGUCUUGUAGAUUUUCUUCUAGAAGUUUUGUAGUUUUGCAUUUUAUUCUUAGGUAUAUGAUCCAUUUUGAGUUAAUCUUCUGCAUUGUGUAAGUAAUGUGUCCAGGUUUAUUUUUCUGCAUGUACAAUUCUCUGGUACAAUUGUUCCAGUGUCAUGGCUUAAAGUCAAAGAUGGUCCUUUCUCCAUUGAUUUGACUUUGCUUCUUUGUCAAAGAUCAGUUGGCUACAUCUGUGUGGGUCUCAUUUUGGACUCUAUUCUGACCCAUUAAUUUAUGGGUCUAUGCCUCUGCCAGUCUUUUUUUUUUUUUUUUGUCUUUUUGCCAUUUCUUGGGCUGUUCUCACGGCAUAUGGAGGUUCCCAGGCUAGGGGUCCAAUCAGAGCUGUAGCUGCCAGCCUACCCCAGAGCUGCAGCAAUGCGGGAUCCAAGCCACGUCUGCCACCUACACCACAGCUCAAGGCAAUGCCAGAUCCUUAACCCACUGAGCAAAGCCAGGGAUCAAACCCGCAACCUCAUGGUUCCUAGUUGGAUUCGUUAACCACUGAGCCAGGGCGGGAACUCCUCUGCCAGUUUUAAUAGAUGAAGAAUAAUUUCAGGGAAGUUAAGUGAUCAUCUUCAAGUUGUAGAUUCACUAAGUUGCAGAGUAGGAAUUGGAAAUUACAUCUUUUGAAUUCAUAUGCCAUCCUGCUCAGUAAACUACAGUUACCUCCCUUCCAAUGUAGAACAAAAACUCUGUGCUACUGUUAAUCAUGAUACUGGUGCCCCUUCCUAGUUGGCCCUAUGACCUUCGCGCACGUUGGCCACAAGGGGGCAGAGUUGACAGAAAGAGUGGCUGCUGGAUAGAUGAUACCUUGUACACAGAAAGUCUUGUCUACCUGUGCAAUCUGAACCUUGGCAUUGACUAAUUGGAAGCUGAUUGCUUUAUUGAAAUAUGCACAGGUGCAAAUUAAAACCCAAGUCCCUUCACAAUCUAAGAUGGAAGAUUUCUGGUAAUACUGUACUUGCUGAAUAAUGAUGCGAGCUGCUAAGGAUGCAGCUGUAAAGGGCUUGAUUAUUGGCUUCUGCUUCCACUUCCUAUAAGUUUAUAGAAAGGAGAGAGGGUGUAAUCAGUUGUGCUUUGAGAAAUUUUUGCAGAGCCCUAGUUUUGAUAUUGUAGAAUUUUUAAAGAAAGGUGUAGUUUGAAGUUUAAAUUUAAAAAAAAAUUUAGAAAACGCAAUAAUAUAGAUGUACACAAGUCUGGAAUUGUAUGAGAUUUAAAGUAUUUCAUACAUACACAUAUCAUUGUUUUUUAACUUAAGAAAUAGAUAAGCUUUCAGUGAAAGACCAGUGUUUUCUGGCUUUCAGGAUGAAUGGACCUCCUGGUCUUUAGCCCACAGUGAAUCAUCUAAGUAACAGUGAAAAGAAUUUAAGACUUAAGUCACCUUCUGUGGAACUUGGGUGAAAUCUUGAAUUCUUGAUAAUGAAUGAAUUCUAAAAUAUCAGUAUUAUUACAUACAGCAAUUAUGAAUAUUCCUUCUACCCAUAUUUUAUGAUGGGUUGUUGGGGUUAUGGCAGGAGAAUGAAUGAUCAUCUGAUUAGGGCUCUCAUAGCACGGUUUACACCCAGUCAUACACUCUGGAUAAUUUGGUAUCUGAUACAAACCUCGUCUCAAAAUUAUUUUGUCCUUCUAAAGCUUAAAGUUUAGAGGUAAUUAAGAAGACAUACAGAUUGUAGAAUAGGGCGUCACCAAGUUCCUAGAAGGAUUUUGGCAAAACACUUGGGAGAAGUUUGGAAUAUAAAAGCUAGAUUCUUUAAUAAUAGAUAGUGUAGUAACUCUAAGGGGUCAAGAUGUUAUUCAUAAAGAAUAUAUAUGUAGUUAUAGUUGCAGUAAGUAUUCUUUUAAGAUGUUUUAUAAAUAAAAAUAGUUGAGAUGGAAACUCACAGAAAUGAAACUACUUGUCAAAUGCUGUUUUACCAAUUUGUUUUUGCACAGUGUAAUCUUGGCAAUUCCUUGCAUCUCUCAAAAGCCAUGGAUCUGCAUUUGUGCUAUCAAAGUGUUCAGAAAUCCCAGACUUCCUCUAAGGCAUCAAAAUGCUUUGGAACAUCUGUAUGCUAAAUAUAGGCUGAAAACUGUGCAAGAUAUAUGCUCUGUGCUAGUUUUGAACUUUGAAGCAUAUGGGAGUUUGUACUUUUCUGCCAGAACUAAUAGCUGCAUAGUCAAUCAAUUUAAAGCAUU
This 4844-nucleotide long non-coding RNA is filed under the name Sus scrofa (pig). Its description in RNAcentral is "lncRNA (ENSSSCG00000054735.1)". The record is from RNAcentral. Lineage: Eukaryota; Metazoa; Chordata; Mammalia; Artiodactyla; Suidae.